Molecule: long non-coding RNA, 304 nt
Filed under: Aotus nancymaae (Ma's night monkey)
Lineage: Eukaryota; Metazoa; Chordata; Mammalia; Primates; Aotidae
Description: lncRNA (ENSANAG00000039030.1)
Source: RNAcentral
GAGAAGGGACGUCGGAGAGGGCUCCCUGCUGCUGCCCCGUCACGCGUGCCCGCAGUGUACGAGAGUCCUGGCGUUUGUGGAUGGAAAUAGCCUAUGGAGUUGCUGAGGCUGAACACCUUAGGGACCAACAACCAGAUGGUGUCGUUUGCAGUGAAGAUCGAACUCAGAGUUGUAGCCGAAUUGGAGAGGAGAGAGUGACAUGUGCGCCCCCUUCCUGCCGUCGGUAGAUGAACCGUGGGAAGCUCGAGGUAAGGGGUGAAAACGCUCGGCCGCUGGGACAGCGCCGCCCAAGGAGGGCGGGAGG